This 253-nucleotide ribosomal RNA is filed under the name uncultured bacterium. RNAcentral describes it as "partial 16S ribosomal RNA". It matches the Rfam family "Bacterial small subunit ribosomal RNA", at positions 524 to 776 of the family's 1533-position model. The record is from RNAcentral.
UACAGAGGUCUCAAGCGUUGUUCGGAUUCAUUGGGCGUAAAGGGUGUGUAGGUGGCGCCGUAAGUGGGGUGUGAAAUUUCGAGGCUUAACCUCGAAACUGCAUUCCAUACUGCGGUGCUUGAGGACUGGAGAGGAGACUGGAAUUUACGGUGUAGCGGUGAAAUGCGUAGAUAUCGUAAGGAAGACCAGUGGCGAAGGCGGGUCUCUGGACAGUUCCUGACGCUGAGGCACGAAGGCUAGGGGAGCAAACGGG